Molecule: long non-coding RNA, 3067 nt
Organism: Strigops habroptila (Kakapo)
Lineage: Eukaryota; Metazoa; Chordata; Aves; Psittaciformes; Psittacidae
Source: Ensembl
UGGGUGAGAAAGGAUUUAUUGUAGCUCCAGAAGGAUGGAGGCUGAGUGGAGGGGCGUGUGCCCGGUGCUCCCGCUGCAUCCCGGCAACCAUCAUCCACGUCCCCGAGCACCUUUUAAAUACUCUAAAGCAGCAGAAGCCCUUCGCCAACACCCCCAAGGGGUAUUUUUCCAGCUGCUGGGGUUUGACUUCAGCAGUGUCACAGGAGCUGAGGCUUGGGACACGUGUCCACCCUUCCCGGGAUGAGCGGGAUGCGGAACAGGGCAGGGAACGCUCAUGGAGACGCCGUGAUGCUGACGUGAACCGGGGGAUCAUCCGCUGCUGUUGGGUCUGGCUCUGGAGGUUACCUGCUGCUGCACCCGGGGCUGACGCGUCUCCCGGUGCUGCUCCAUCCUCCAGGGCUGUUUCAGCAUCCUCCGGUGUGCCCGCGGGCUCCUGGUCACCGGGCCCGGCCCUAGAGGGCACUCACAUGGGAGGGUGUCCCGGUGGCGGGCGAUGCAGCGCACGGCCAGGAGCGACGCCGCGGUGGCCACCAGCAUCCCCACCACCGCUGCCCCCGUCACCGCCGGGUAGGCUUCGAAGGGAGGCUCGGCUGGAAGAGAGCAGAGGGAGAGGGGGGGAAUGUGGCAGGAGCAGCCCGAGGGAUGCGGUAGCCGGAGCCUGUUCACUCUGAAACCUACUGACGGCCGCUCGCGCUUUGCUCCUCAGCUCCACCAGGCUGCCACCAUCGCCCAUCUCCAACCCUGCUCUGCCCCACGGAGCAGCGCCCCAGCCCCCUUCACCUGGCGUCUGCACCUCGGAGGGGUGCCCGGCCGUGCGGUGGUUGACGGCCAGGAUGCGGAAGGCAUAAACCACGGCCGGGUCCAGCCCCCCGAGGCGCCGGUCGCGCGAGUGGGGCUCGAUGUCACCGGCGGCCGUUUCCCAGGGCCCGGCCGCCCGCCGGGGGGGUCUCUUGGUUUGGCGCCGCUGCACCACGAAGCCGGUGAGGUUGCCGGUGCCCUGCGUCCGCCACUCCAGCCGCACCUCGGUGCGCGCCCGCGUGUACCGCAGCCUGCUGAUGGUGACGUUGGGGGGGGCCGGGUACCCUGUGGGGACACAGCGCCCCAUAGAAUGAGGUUGAUCCCCCCCCCUCUAAACCCACCCGCCACAUCCCAGGGCUCACGUUCCACGCGGAGCUGGACGGGGAGGCUGGCGGUGCCCACGGCGUUGGCUGCGGCGCAGCGGUAGGUCCCGCUGUCCCCCGGCCACUCCGCAUCACGGAUGGUGAGGUUGAGCCACGCUUCUCCCCGCUCCAAGUGGUACUUGGCCAACCCCGCUGGCAACUCCUGCUCCUUGGGGUCGUACCAAGCCAUGGUGGCACCCAGGUUGGCGCCGGGGCCGCCUCGCCGGCACGCCAAGCGCGCCUCGCCGCCCUCCAGCACCGCCACCUCGCUCCUCGCCACCUCCAGCUCGGGGGCCUCUGCUCGGUGACAAGACAGGAUGGCACCAGUGGGGCUGUGCCACCGACCCGCGGCACGGGGACACACAGGGACACGGCUCCGGCUUACCCAGGCGCAGGCGGCACUCGGUGCCGGUGGCCUGGAGCGGAUGGGUGGCCGCACAGAUGUAAUCCUGCCCCCCCAGGCUGCUGCUGGUGCUCAGCACCACGACGGUGGCGGAGGGUGCGGGGUCACCCAGCGCCUGCCCAGCGCCAUCCCACCAGCGCAGGGUGACGGGGGGGGUCCCCCCGUCCCACCGGCACCGCAGCAUCACAUACUCGUCCCCCUUGGUGGCCACUGCCGCGCAGGAGGGGCCGCCAGCCGGGAUCCCUGCGGGAAGGAGAGGUGAUGGGAUGGGGACCGUGAUCUGUGCCCCCCCCAAAAGAGACCCCUCCCCAAAGCAUGGGGGGGGGCUGGGCGGUGGGACCCUCAUUGUGGAGCAGGGGGUCCCAGCAUCACGGGGCUCACCGUGGGUUUGUGGGGGCAGAAGGGGGUGUGGGGGGCACUCACACAGGGUGGUCCCGCAGGCAGCCCCCUGCGGCAGCGCGGGGUGGGAGGCCAGGCAGGAGAAGGCGCUGCCGUUCCUGGUGGCCCCCCCUGGCUGGAUUCUGGUGGCCAUGGAAAAAGAGGUCCCCGUCACCCCCCGCUCUUCCUCCUCAUCCUCCUCCUCGGGGCCCACCCAGCGCAGCCGUGCCGGGGGGAACCCCCCCAGCCAGCGGCACCGCAGCGCCACGUCCCGCACGUCACCGGCGGCCAGCGCAGAGCAGCUCGGGCUCCCGGCUGGUGGAUCUGCGGGAGACCAUCGGUGCUGGGGUGGGGAUUGGGGGAGGUCCAAGUCAUAGCCCCCCCAUCCUGCUCCCAAAUCACCCCUUGCACCCACAUCCUCACCAGGGAGCUGCAUUGGUCCAUCUCGCCCCUCUGGGGGUUACUUACAGUAGACGGUGAGGACGAUGGUGGCCUGGGUGCGGGUUUGGAGGUGGAUGUUCUCGGCCAGGCAGGUGUAGGUGCCGGCCUGGGCGCGGGUGAUGGCAGCGAGGAUGUAGGUCUGACCCACAUGGACCUGGGAGCCGUUGUGGAGCCAGACGUAGCGGCUGGGCGGGUUGGAUGGCGCCAGGCAGCUCAGCACCACGUCCUCGCGCUCGCCCGCGGAGAAGCCGCCCUGCUCCGGGCUGAAGGGCUCCACGCUGAUGGCCGGCUCGUCGGGGCCGUCUACGAUGUCCAGGUAGACGGGCUCGCUGCUGCGGUUGUUGACCUCGUUGCGCGCGGUGCACACGUACCACCCGGCGUGGCUGCGGUUGGCGGGCGCCAGGCUCAGCUCCGCGCCGGAGCCCCCCAGUGCCACGGGGGCCCCCCCCCCGCGGCUGCCGGUGCUGCCAGGAGAAGCUGAGCGGCUCCGUCCCCUCGCGCACGGCGCACGUCAAGGCCACCGGCGUCCCCUCCGCCGCCGCCGCCGCCGUCGGCCGCACGAAGGGCUUGGACACGGGCACUGGUACCCGGAGCAGGAUGGUGCUGUAUCCCACGCGGAGCCGGCCGCGCUCCGGGAAGAGCCCCUGGCACAGGAAGCGGCCGCGGGCACCGGCCCGCAGCUCCC